GAUGAACGCUAGCUACAGGCUUAACACAUGCAAGUCGAGGGGCAGCAUGAACUUAGCUUGCUAAGUUUGAUGGCGACCGGCGCACGGGUGAGUAACACGUAUCCAACCUGCCGAUGACUCGGGGAUAGCCUUUCGAAAGAAAGAUUAAUACCCGAUGGCAUAGUUCUUCCGCAUGGUAGAACUAUUAAAGAAUUUCGGUCAUCGAUGGGGAUGCGUUCCAUUAGCUUGUUGGCGGGGUAACGGCCCACCAAGGCGACGAUGCGUAGGGGUUCUGAGAGGAAGGUCCCCCACACUGGUACUGAGACACGGACCAG
RNAcentral lists this ribosomal RNA (314 nucleotides) under uncultured bacterium. RNAcentral describes it as "bacterial SSU rRNA". It matches the Rfam family "Bacterial small subunit ribosomal RNA", at positions 28 to 334 of the family's 1533-position model. The record is from RNAcentral.